AGGAUUGUUUCGAUUCGGAUCGGGUCAAUAGGUAACGGAGCCCCCUUAAGCUGUUCAUGUCGCUCUUCACCAAUCGAAAAAGCGAACCCUAGAAUAUUUGCUUGAGAGACUCGGAUUCUUCCUUCUAUUUCCUCUGCAUCCAAUCUCAUUCCACAACCAGACGAGACUCUUCGCCUUCAUUCAGAUAUCGAAAUCAAGCUUCGAUGGCCAUAUUUCGUGCCGCCAUGGACAUGGCCCGACGUGGUGGCAACCGCCUAUUCCGCACCGCCAUGAACAUGUCUCGACGUGGUGUCUCCGUUAACCAUGCCCCUCUUGGAGUUCCUGCUCAUCCUGAAAGCUAUACCUUGACAUUUACCGCAGAGCACCUAAAACUUGUACUGAUUAUAGCUGCUGGACAUGUCAUGGGGCGCGGACUUACUCGUGUUUUAUUUGGUCCUCCACCUCAUCAACGUGAGAAAGCAUGAACAGCUAUGGAAAUAAGAUGAGCAAGUGUCAGUUUGGUGUUUCUUUUAUGCAAUGCGCUGUGCUAGCUAGUUGUGGUAAUGUUUGGUGUAGAAACUUUAGGUGAAACAUAUUCACUUCCCUUUCCCCUUCUUUUCAUAUAGCAUGAACAAUAUGGAAUGAAACUUAAUAAUGUCCAGCUUGGGGAAUAGUUAAAAGGUGCUUUCUCGGAAUUGAACUAUUUUAUUAUGCUUUCUUUAAAAUAAUGAUGAGAAUAAAUAUAACAUAUUAGUAAUAGUA
Molecule: long non-coding RNA, 741 nt
Organism: Lotus japonicus
Lineage: Eukaryota; Viridiplantae; Streptophyta; Magnoliopsida; Fabales; Fabaceae
Exons: 5
Source: RefSeq, a predicted model, not a curated record